GGGCGGUUAGCUCAGCUGGUUAGAGCACACGGUUGACAUCCGUGAGGUCGCAGGUUCGAGCCCUGUAUCGCCCAC
Molecule: transfer RNA, 75 nt
Filed under: Thermoflexales bacterium
Lineage: Bacteria; Bacillati; Chloroflexota; Thermoflexia; Thermoflexales
Description: tRNA-Val
Rfam family: tRNA
About the family: Transfer RNA (tRNA) molecules are approximately 80 nucleotides in length. Their secondary structure includes four short double-helical elements and three loops (D, anti-codon, and T loops). Further hydrogen bonds mediate the characteristic L-shaped molecular structure. tRNAs have two regions of fundamental functional importance: the anti-codon, which is responsible for specific mRNA codon recognition, and the 3' end, to which the tRNAs corresponding amino acid is attached (by aminoacyl-tRNA synthetases). tRNAs cope with the degeneracy of the genetic code in two manners: having more than one tRNA (with a specific anti-codon) for a particular amino acid; and 'wobble' base-pairing, i.e. permitting non-standard base-pairing at the 3rd anti-codon position.
Source: RNAcentral